GGGUUCGUAGCUCAGCCAGGUAGAGCGUCUGGCUCUUAACCAGUCAAGAUUUCUCUGGGUUAUAAUGUCGUGGGUCCGAAUCCCACCGAACCCG
RNAcentral lists this transfer RNA (94 nucleotides) under Thermoproteota archaeon. RNAcentral's name for it is "tRNA-Lys". It matches the Rfam family "tRNA". From Rfam's summary of the family: Transfer RNA (tRNA) molecules are approximately 80 nucleotides in length. Their secondary structure includes four short double-helical elements and three loops (D, anti-codon, and T loops). RNAcentral also lists the same sequence under 2 other names. The record is from RNAcentral. Lineage: Archaea; Thermoproteati; Thermoproteota.